GACGAACGCUGGCGGCGUGCUUAACACAUGCAAGUCGAACGGAAAGGCCCUGCUUUUGUGGGGUGCUCGAGUGGCGAACGGGUGAGUAACACGUGAGUAACCUGCCCUUGACUUUGGGAUAACUUCAGGAAACUGGGGCUAAUACCGGAUAGGAGCUCCUGCUGCAUGGUGGGGGUUGGACAGUUUCGGCGGUUGGGGCUGGACUCGCGGCUUAUCAGCUUGUUGGUGGGGUAGUGGCGUACCAAGGCUUUGACGGGUAGCCGGCCUGAGAGGGUGACCGGCCACAUGGGGACUGCGAUACGGCCCAGACUCCUACGGGAGGCAGCAGUGGGGAAUAUUGCACAAUGGGCGGAAGCCUGAUGCAGCAACGCCGCGUGCGGGAUGACGGCCUUCGGGUUGUAAACCGCUUUCGCCUGUGACGAAGCGUGAGUGACGGUAAUGGGUAAAGAAGCACCGGCUAACUACGUG
RNAcentral lists this ribosomal RNA (468 nucleotides) under uncultured bacterium. RNAcentral's name for it is "partial 16S ribosomal RNA". It matches the Rfam family "Bacterial small subunit ribosomal RNA", at positions 28 to 507 of the family's 1533-position model. The record is from RNAcentral.